RNAcentral lists this ribosomal RNA (468 nucleotides) under uncultured Desulfobulbus sp. RNAcentral describes it as "bacterial SSU rRNA". It matches the Rfam family "Bacterial small subunit ribosomal RNA", at positions 920 to 1382 of the family's 1533-position model. The record is from RNAcentral. Lineage: Bacteria; Pseudomonadati; Thermodesulfobacteriota; Desulfobulbia; Desulfobulbales; Desulfobulbaceae.
CCCGCACAAGCGGUGGAGUAUGUGGUUUAAUUCGAUGCAACGCGAAGAACCUUACCUGGUCUUGACAUCCCGGAGACCCUUAGGAAACUAGGGGGUGCUUCCAUCUGGAAGAAUCUGGAGACAGGUGCUGCAUGGCUGUCGUCAGCUCGUGUCGUGAGAUGUUGGGUUAAGUCCCGCAACGAGCGCAACCCUUGCCUUUAGUUGCCAGCAGUUCGGCUGGGCACUCUAAAGGGACUGCCGGUGUUAAACCGGAGGAAGUGGGGAUGACGUCAAGUCCUCAUGGCCUUUAUGACCAGGGCUACACACGUACUACAAUGGCCGAUACAAAGGGCAGCGACACUGCGAGGUGAAGCCAAUCCCGUAAAAUCGGUCUCAGUCCGGAUUGGAGUCUGCAACUCGACUCCAUGAAGUUGGAUUCGCUAGUAAUCGCGCAUCAGCCAUGGCGCGGUGAAUACGUUCCCGGGCCUU